This 301-nucleotide ribosomal RNA is filed under the name uncultured bacterium. RNAcentral's name for it is "partial 16S ribosomal RNA". It matches the Rfam family "Bacterial small subunit ribosomal RNA", at positions 509 to 809 of the family's 1533-position model. The record is from RNAcentral.
CAGCAGCCGCGGUAAUACAGAGGGUGCGAGCGUUAAUCGGAUUUACUGGGCGUAAAGCGUGCGUAGGCGGCUUUUUAAGUCGGAUGUGAAAUCCCUGAGCUUAACUUAGGAAUUGCAUUCGAUACUGGGAAGCUAGAGUAUGGGAGAGGAUGGUAGAAUUCCAGGUGUAGCGGUGAAAUGCGUAGAGAUCUGGAGGAAUACCGAUGGCGAAGGCAGCCAUCUGGCCUAAUACUGACGCUGAGGUACGAAAGCAUGGGGAGCAAACAGGAUUAGAUACCCGGGUAGUCCCUGUCUCUUAUAU